CCUUCCGGGGGCGCAGCAGAAUGAAUGCCAGAUUGAAAGGUCUUGCUGGACAAAGCUGAGAGGAUGGUGCAUGGCCGUCGCCAGUUCGUGCCGUGAGGUGUCCUGUUAAGUCAGGCAACAUCAUGACCCGCGCCCUUAUGUUGCUACCGAUGGAAUGUUUUCCAAUGGGGCACUCUAGGGGGACUGCCGUCGACAAUGUCGGUGGAAGGAGCGGGCUACGGCAUGGUCAGUAUGCCCCGAAUCCCCCGGGCUACACGCGAUGCUGCAAUGGCAUGGGACAAUGAUGCUCCGAUCCUGAAAAUGGGGUGGCAAUCUCUAAACCCUGCCUCAAGUUAGAAUUCGAAUGGCUGGAACCCCGCCUUCGUGUACAUGGAAUGCCUAGUAAUCGCAGCGUCAUCAUCGCGCGGUAAAUACAUCCCCGCUCCUUGCACACACCGCCCGUCGCUCCAUCCGAAGUAGGGAGUUUGGAGUAGAUGGCAGUGGUCUUUUUGGCUGCGUCAGAAUCUAGAUGUUCCUCAAAGGAUGGGAGAAGUCGUAAUCACAGGAAGCCGAAUCCCGCGGCCAAACGGCCCGGACGCAUGGAGAGACGCUCAUGAAACCGUG
This 603-nucleotide ribosomal RNA is filed under the name uncultured archaeon. Its description in RNAcentral is "bacterial SSU rRNA". It matches the Rfam family "Archaeal small subunit ribosomal RNA", at positions 926 to 1478 of the family's 1478-position model. The record is from RNAcentral.